RNAcentral lists this ribosomal RNA (348 nucleotides) under uncultured Sphaerotilus sp. RNAcentral's name for it is "bacterial SSU rRNA". It matches the Rfam family "Bacterial small subunit ribosomal RNA", at positions 1 to 351 of the family's 1533-position model. The record is from RNAcentral. Lineage: Bacteria; Pseudomonadati; Pseudomonadota; Betaproteobacteria; Burkholderiales; Sphaerotilaceae.
AGCUGAGUUUGAUCCUGGCUCAGAUUGAACGCUGGCGGUAUGCCUUACACAUGCAAGUCGAACGGUAGAGGGGCAACCCUUGAGAGUGGCGAACGGGUGAGUAAUACAUCGGAACGUGCCCAGUCGUGGGGGAUAACGUAGCGAAAGCUACGCUAAUACCGCAUACGACCUGAGGGUGAAAGCGGGGGACUCGCAAGAGCCUCGCGCGAUUGGAGCGGCCGAUGGCAGAUUAGGUAGUUGGUGGGUAAAGGACCGACCCAAGCCGUGCGAUCUGUAGCUGGUCUGAGAGGACGACCAGCCACACUGGGACGUGAGACACGGCCCGACGACGUCCUACGGGGAGGGCAG